This 253-nucleotide ribosomal RNA is filed under the name uncultured bacterium. RNAcentral's name for it is "partial 16S ribosomal RNA". It matches the Rfam family "Bacterial small subunit ribosomal RNA", at positions 524 to 776 of the family's 1533-position model. The record is from RNAcentral.
UACGAAGGGGGCUAGCGUUGCUCGGAAUUACUGGGCGUAAAGCGCACGUAGGCGGCUUUCUAAGUCGGGGGUGAAAUCCUGGAGCUCAACUCCAGAACUGCCUUCGAUACUGGAGAGCUCGAGUCCGGGAGAGGUGAGUGGAACUGCGAGUGUAGAGGUGAAAUUCGUAGAUAUUCGCAAGAACACCAGUGGCGAAGGCGGCUCACUGGCCCGGUACUGACGCUGAGGUGCGAAAGCGUGGGGAGCGAACAGG